GACGAACACUGGCGGCGUGCUUAACACAUGCAAGUCGAACGGUAAGGCCCUUCGGGGUACACGAGUGGCGAACGGGUGAGUAACACGUGGGUGAUCUGCCCUGCACUUCGGGAUAAGCCUGGGAAACUGGGUCUAAUACCGGAUAGGACUCCUGGCUUCAGGGUUGGGGGUGGAAAGCGUUUGCGGUGUGGGAUGGGCCCGCGGCCUAUCAGCUUGUUGGUGGGGUGAUGGCCUACCAAGGCGACGACGGGUAGCCGGCCUGAGAGGGUGACCGGCCACACUGGGACUGAGAUACGGCCCAGACUCCUACGGGAGGCAGCAGUGGGGAAUAUUGCACAAUGGGCGCAAGCCUGAUGCAGCGACGCCGCGUGAGGGAUGACGGCCUUCGGGUUGUAAACCUCUUUCAGCACAGACGAAGCGCAAGUGACGGUAUGUGCAGAAGAAAGACCGGCCAACUACGUGCCAGCCGCCGCAGUAA
RNAcentral lists this ribosomal RNA (478 nucleotides) under uncultured bacterium. RNAcentral's name for it is "partial 16S ribosomal RNA". It matches the Rfam family "Bacterial small subunit ribosomal RNA", at positions 28 to 523 of the family's 1533-position model. The record is from RNAcentral.